UCUGGCAAAGAGAUUUGCAGAGUGUCGGGUGACCGGCAAAGAGAUCUGCAAAGUGUCAGUUGAAGACGACGGGAGGGGUCGCAGAGGUAACAACGACUGGAGUAUAACAUGCAGGAGAUCAUCAUUUGGCAAAGUUCUGGUAAAGAGAUUUGCAGAGUGUCGGGUGACCGGCAAAGAGAUCUGCAAAGUGUCAGUUGAAGACGACAGGAGGGGUCGCAGAGGAAUUAUUGACUGGAGAAUAGCAUGCAGGAGUGGGAGAUCCCUGAAUAGCUGCCCUGGGAGGAAAGCUGCGGACACAUGCUCCAAAUGUUGGGACGUAUGCAUUACCUAUGAGGAGAUGCGGUAAAGAUGCCGGCUGUCGGGUUUACGGCAGUCAGAAUACUGACACUGGGAUCCCGACGUUGGAACUCAGAAUGGGCAAGGAUACCGACGCCCGUAUCCCCAUGAUCAUAGGUGUAGGGCUGGG
Long non-coding RNA from Pseudophryne corroboree (corroboree frog), 466 nucleotides. RefSeq lists it as uncharacterized. The record is from RefSeq and is a predicted model, not a curated record. The transcript has 3 exons. Lineage: Eukaryota; Metazoa; Chordata; Amphibia; Anura; Myobatrachidae.